GAUGAACGCUGGCGGCGUACCUAAUACAUGCAAGUCGAGCGAAUGGAUUAAGAGCUUGCUCUUAUGAAGUUAGCGGCGGACGGGCGAGUAACACGUGGGUAACCUGCCCAUAAGACUGGGAUAACUCCGGGAAACCGGGGCUAAUACCGGAUAACAUUUUGAACCGCAUGGUUCGAAAUUGAAAGGCGGCUUCGGCUGUCACUUAUGGAUGGACACGCGUCGCAUUAGCUAGUUGGUGAGGUAACGGCUCACCAAGGCAACGAUGCGUAGCCGACCUGAGAGGGUGAUCGGCCACACUGGGACUGAGACACGGCCCAGACUCCUACGGGAGGCAGCAGUAGGGAAUCUUCCGCAAUGGACGAAAGUCUGACGGAGCAACGCCGCGUGAGUGAUGAAGGCUUUCGGGUCGUAAAACUCUGUUGUUAGGGAAGAACAAGUGCUAGUUGAAUAAGCUGGCACCUUGACGGUACCUAACCAGAAAGCCACGGCCAACUACGUGCCAGCCGCCGCAGUAA
RNAcentral lists this ribosomal RNA (515 nucleotides) under uncultured bacterium. RNAcentral describes it as "partial 16S ribosomal RNA". It matches the Rfam family "Bacterial small subunit ribosomal RNA", at positions 28 to 523 of the family's 1533-position model. The record is from RNAcentral.